UGCCAGAGCUACAUAGUGAGACCUUAUCUC
RNAcentral lists this non-coding RNA (30 nucleotides) under Rattus norvegicus (Norway rat). The record is from RNAcentral. Lineage: Eukaryota; Metazoa; Chordata; Mammalia; Rodentia; Muridae.